CGCGAACCCACGAGCGUUGAAAAGCUCGGGGAUGACUUGUGGGUAGCGGUGAAAUUCCAAUCGAGCCCGGAGAUGUCUGGUUCUCCCCGAAAUAGGUUUAGGGCGUGCCUCAAGGUGAGGGAUACGGAGGUAGAGCACUGAAUGUCCUAGGGGGUAUAGAACCUACCGAAGACUAUCAAACUGCGAAUGCCGUCAUCUUAUACUUGGGAGUCAGACUGUGGGUGAUAAGAUUCAUAGUCGAAAGGGCAACAGCCCAGAUCGUAAGCUAAGGUCCCUAAAUGUAAGUUAAGUGGUAAAGGAUGUGGGAUUGAACAGACAACCCGGAUGUUGGAUUAGAAGCAACGACUCAUUCAAAGAGUGCGUAAUAGCUCACUGGUCGCGUGAUCCUGCGCCGAAGAUUUCCGGGGAUAAAGCUUGCUAACGAAGGUACGGACACCGUAAUUCUGGUUCGGGUGACUUCCCGUACGGGUUGCAGCCUUGCAGGCCGGACAUGUGG
RNAcentral lists this ribosomal RNA (496 nucleotides) under Clostridioides difficile. Its description in RNAcentral is "bacterial LSU rRNA". It matches the Rfam family "Bacterial large subunit ribosomal RNA", at positions 773 to 1284 of the family's 2925-position model. Lineage: Bacteria; Bacillati; Bacillota; Clostridia; Peptostreptococcales; Peptostreptococcaceae. The record is from RNAcentral.